UUGAAGAUUGUAACCUUGGGGUUGGCUCUUGUCUAUGUUUCUUGGAACAGGACGUCACAGAGGGUGAGAAUCCCGUGCGAUGAGAUGCCCAAUUCUAUGUAAGGUGCUUUCGAAGAGUCGAGUUGUUUGGGAAUGCAGCUCUAAGUGGGUGGUAAAUUCCAUCUAAAGCUAAAUAUUGGCGAGAGACCGAUAGCGAACAAGUACAGUGAUGGAAAGAUGAAAAGAACUUUGAAAAGAGAGUGAAAAAGUACGUGAAAUUGUUGAAAGGGAAGGGUUUGAGAUCAGACUCGAUAUUUUGUGAGCCUUGCCUUCGUGGCGGGGUGACCCGCAGCUUAUCGGGCCAGCAUCGGUUUGGGCGGUAGGAUAAUGGCGUAGGAAUGUGACUUUACUUCGGUGAAGUGUUAUAGCCUGCGUUGAUGCUGCCUGCCUAGACCGAGGACUGCGAUUUUAUCAAGGAUGCUGGCAUAAUGAUCCCCAAACCGCCCGUCUUUGAAACACGGACC
Molecule: ribosomal RNA, 503 nt
Filed under: Meyerozyma guilliermondii
Lineage: Eukaryota; Fungi; Ascomycota; Pichiomycetes; Serinales; Debaryomycetaceae
Description: LSU rRNA
Rfam family: Eukaryotic large subunit ribosomal RNA
Source: RNAcentral